RNAcentral lists this microRNA (22 nucleotides) under Caenorhabditis briggsae. Its description in RNAcentral is "cbr-miR-38". Its record names the gene cbr-miR-38. The record is from miRBase by way of RNAcentral. Lineage: Eukaryota; Metazoa; Nematoda; Chromadorea; Rhabditida; Rhabditidae.
UCACCGGGAGACAACCUGGUAU